RNAcentral lists this transfer RNA (71 nucleotides) under Candidatus Woesearchaeota archaeon. RNAcentral describes it as "tRNA-His". It matches the Rfam family "tRNA". From Rfam's summary of the family: Transfer RNA (tRNA) molecules are approximately 80 nucleotides in length. Their secondary structure includes four short double-helical elements and three loops (D, anti-codon, and T loops). Further hydrogen bonds mediate the characteristic L-shaped molecular structure. tRNAs have two regions of fundamental functional importance: the anti-codon, which is responsible for specific mRNA codon recognition, and the 3' end, to which the tRNAs corresponding amino acid is attached (by aminoacyl-tRNA synthetases). tRNAs cope with the degeneracy of the genetic code in two manners: having more than one tRNA (with a specific anti-codon) for a particular amino acid; and 'wobble' base-pairing, i.e. permitting non-standard base-pairing at the 3rd anti-codon position. The record is from RNAcentral. Lineage: Archaea; Nanobdellati; Candidatus Woesearchaeota.
GAGGCCGUCGUAUAUUGGUAGUAUAGAGGCCUGUGGGGCCUUCGGAGCGGGUUCGAUUCCCGCCGGUCUCC